Molecule: unclassified non-coding RNA, 102 nt
Organism: Cercocebus atys (sooty mangabey)
Lineage: Eukaryota; Metazoa; Chordata; Mammalia; Primates; Cercopithecidae
Rfam family: Y RNA
About the family: Y RNAs are components of the Ro ribonucleoprotein particle (Ro RNP), in association with Ro60 and La proteins. The Y RNAs and Ro60 and La proteins are well conserved, but the function of the Ro RNP is not known.
Source: Ensembl
GGCUGGUCUGAGUGCAGUGGUGUUUAUAACUAACUGACCACAAUGAGUUACAGAUUAUUUUGUUCCUUCUCCAUUCUCACUGCUUCCCUUGACUAGCCUUAU